This 253-nucleotide ribosomal RNA is filed under the name uncultured bacterium. RNAcentral describes it as "partial 16S ribosomal RNA". It matches the Rfam family "Bacterial small subunit ribosomal RNA", at positions 524 to 776 of the family's 1533-position model. The record is from RNAcentral.
UACGUAGGGUGCAAGCGUUGUCCGGAAUUAUUGGGCGUAAAGAGCUCGUAGGCGGUUUGUCGCGUCUGCUGUGAAAACCCGAGGCUCAACCUCGGGCCUGCGGUGGGUACGGGCAGACUAGAGUGCGGUAGGGGAGAUUGGAAUUCCUGGUGUAGCGGUGGAAUGCGCAGAUAUCAGGAGGAACACCAAUGGCGAAGGCAGAUCUCUGGGCCGUAACUGACGCUGAGGAGCGAAAGCAUGGGGAGCGAACAGG